CCUACGGGAGGCAGCAGUGAGGAAUAUUGGUCAAUGGACGGAAGUCUGAACCAGCCAUGCCGCGUGCAGGAAGACGGCUCUAUGAGUUGUAAACUGCUUUUGUACAAAGGUAAACCUGAAUACGUGUAUUCAGCUGAAAGUACUGUACGAAUAAGGAUCGGCUAACUCGGUUACAGCAGCCGAGGUAAUACGGAGUAUCGAAGCGUGAUCCGGAUUUAUUUGGUUUAACGGGUGUGUAGGCGGAUUGAUAAGUUAGAGGUGAAAUGUUCGAGCUUAACUCGGGAACUGCCUCGAAUACUGUUGAUCUAGAGAGUAGAUGCGGUAGGAGGAAUGUAUGGUGUAGCGGUGAAAUGCUUAGAGAUCAUACAGAACACCGAUUGCGAAGGCAGCUUACCAAUCUAUAUCUGACGUUGAGGCACGAAAGCGUGGGGAGCAAACAGGAUUAGAUACCCCAGUAGUC
RNAcentral lists this ribosomal RNA (460 nucleotides) under uncultured bacterium. Its description in RNAcentral is "partial 16S ribosomal RNA". It matches the Rfam family "Bacterial small subunit ribosomal RNA", at positions 338 to 795 of the family's 1533-position model. The record is from RNAcentral.